CCAUAUGUCCGACUGUCUGUCUGUCUGUCUACCUUUCUGUCUCUCUCCCUGAACACUUGGCCUUGGGACCCAAAUACUAUACUGUGAAGAAGCCCAGCCACAUGAAGAGGUCACUGCAGAUGUCCUGGUCAAUAACCCAGCUAAAGUUUCAGCCAACAGCCAGCUUCCACGGACAGAUCUUCUAGUAAAUCCAUAUCCCAGACUUCAAGCCACCCCAGUUAUGUGCCCUUCCAUGAAAAAUCCCUCCGUGUCAAAUGGGAAGCAUAACAGUCUCUCUUGGGAGUCUUGGGGCUUUACUAAAGUGCCCAGCACAUGCCCAGGCCAGCCAGUUCUAUCUAGACAGAUAAAAUCACUAUGAGGCUCCCAGACCAGAGACAUCCUUAUCAGCCACUGUCUGGGGCAUUUGGAAAUGUAAACUCUCCUGCCAACCCUGUGAUGCAAGACCAGCACUGGGAAGACACAAAGCAGACUCAGAGGACAGACCUUCCUCCACUCUCUCAGUCCCCCUGCAACUCUGUGAGCCAGCAGUGAGAGGGGGGACUGCCUCAAGUCCUCUUCCCUGACAUCCAGAUGUGUGCUUUUCCCUUCAAGUUACAUGGAUUUGGAGGGGUCUCAAGCCUGUCUGUCAAUGUCACUUUGGCCAAAGAUGCCCAUGAGAGUGCAGCAUAGAUCCCACCCUACACAGAAAACAAGAGUUGAAUGACACGCAAGCUGAUGUGCCUGUGUGACCCACAACAAGUCCCUUCCCAUGAGUGAGCAUUUACUAUGAGCCAGGCACUGUUCUGAGUGAUCUCCAUGUAUUAACUCAUUUAA
This is a non-coding RNA of Heterocephalus glaber (naked mole-rat), 813 nucleotides long. Lineage: Eukaryota; Metazoa; Chordata; Mammalia; Rodentia; Bathyergidae. The record is from RefSeq and is a predicted model, not a curated record.